AGGUAACAAAAACUCCGAGCUCUAAUACCUAAAGUUCGAACAACUAUGGUACUGGAGCCGCAACUGAGAAGUUGCCCGGUAGCCAGAGAAAUCAACCUGCCGCCCACGAGCUUUAACGCUCGAUAUUUGGAAAGGUGUUAGAUGAACUUACAA
This 153-nucleotide non-coding RNA is filed under the name Alteromonas macleodii. RNAcentral describes it as "MoCo sequence". It matches the Rfam family "Molybdenum/Tungsten riboswitch aptamer (Moco RNA motif)". RNAcentral also lists the same sequence under 1 other name. The record is from RNAcentral. Lineage: Bacteria; Pseudomonadati; Pseudomonadota; Gammaproteobacteria; Alteromonadales; Alteromonadaceae.